Molecule: ribosomal RNA, 502 nt
Filed under: uncultured bacterium
Lineage: Bacteria
Description: bacterial SSU rRNA
Rfam family: Bacterial small subunit ribosomal RNA
Source: RNAcentral
UUAUGGCUCAGGAUGAACGCUGGCGGCGUGCUUAACACAUGCAAGUCGAGCGAAGCACUCUGGAAGAUUCCUUCGGGAUGAUUCCUUAGUGACUUAGCGGCGGACGGGUGAGUAACGCGUGGGCAACCUGCCUUGUACAGGGGGAUAACAGUUAGAAAUGACUGCUAAUACCGCAUAAGCACACAGCAUGGCAUCAUGCAGUGUGAAAAACUCCGGUGGUACAAGAUGGGCCCGCGUUGGAUUAGCUAGUUGGUGGGGUAACGGCCCACCAAGGCGACGAUCCAUAGCCGGACUGAGAGGUCGAACGGCCACAUUGGGACUGAGACACGGCCCAGACUCCUACGGGAGGCAGCAGUGGGGAAUAUUGCACAAUGGAGGAAACUCUGAUGCAAGCGACGCCGCGUGAGUGAUGAAGUAUUUCGGUAUGUAAAGCUCUAUCAGCAGGGAAGAAGACGACGGUACCUGACUAAGAAGCCCCGGCUAACUACGUGCCAGCAGCCGC